Molecule: non-coding RNA, 67 nt
Organism: Nerophis lumbriciformis (worm pipefish)
Lineage: Eukaryota; Metazoa; Chordata; Actinopteri; Syngnathiformes; Syngnathidae
Source: RefSeq, a predicted model, not a curated record
UUGGAGGUGAUGCAUAUUAUCCUCUGAAUGCCUGUGAAGGUUUUUGUAUUCAUACUGUCUGAUCCAG